UGGGGUGGAGCUCAGGGUAGUGCACUCACCUGGUAUGUGUGAGGCACUGGGUUCGAUCCUCAGCACCACAU
RNAcentral lists this transfer RNA (71 nucleotides) under Ictidomys tridecemlineatus (thirteen-lined ground squirrel). Its description in RNAcentral is "Spermophilus tridecemlineatus (thirteen-lined ground squirrel) tRNA". It matches the Rfam family "tRNA". Rfam says of the family: Transfer RNA (tRNA) molecules are approximately 80 nucleotides in length. Their secondary structure includes four short double-helical elements and three loops (D, anti-codon, and T loops). Further hydrogen bonds mediate the characteristic L-shaped molecular structure. tRNAs have two regions of fundamental functional importance: the anti-codon, which is responsible for specific mRNA codon recognition, and the 3' end, to which the tRNAs corresponding amino acid is attached (by aminoacyl-tRNA synthetases). tRNAs cope with the degeneracy of the genetic code in two manners: having more than one tRNA (with a specific anti-codon) for a particular amino acid; and 'wobble' base-pairing, i.e. permitting non-standard base-pairing at the 3rd anti-codon position. The record is from Rfam by way of RNAcentral. Lineage: Eukaryota; Metazoa; Chordata; Mammalia; Rodentia; Sciuridae.